GACGAACGCUGGCGGCGUGCUUAACACAUGCAAGUCGAACGGAAAGGCCCUGCUUGCCGGGUACUCGAGUGGCGAACGGGUGAGUAACACGUGGGUGAUCUGCCCUGCACUUCGGGAUAAGCCUGGGAAACUGGGUCUAAUACCGGAUAGGAGCCAUUUUUAGUGUGAUGGUUGGAAAGUUUUUUCGGUGUAGGAUGAGCUCGCGGCCUAUCAGCUUGUUGGUGGGGUAAUGGCCUACCAAGGCGGCGACGGGUAGCCGGCCUGAGAGGGUGGACGGCCACAUUGGGACUGAGAUACGGCCCAGACUCCUACGGGAGGCAGCAGUGGGGAAUAUUGCACAAUGGGCGCAAGCCUGAUGCAGCGACGCCGCGUGGGGGAUGACGGCCUUCGGGUUGUAAACUCCUUUCGCUAGGGACGAAGCUUUUUGUGACGGUACCUAGAUAAGAAGCACCGGCUAACUA
Molecule: ribosomal RNA, 461 nt
Filed under: uncultured bacterium
Lineage: Bacteria
Description: partial 16S ribosomal RNA
Rfam family: Bacterial small subunit ribosomal RNA
Source: RNAcentral